CAGUCGCCGCGGUAAUACGAAGGGUGCAAGCGUUAAUCGGAAUUACUGGGCGUAAAGCGUGCGUAGGCGGUUUGUUAAGUCUGCUGUGAAAUCCCCGGGCUCAACCUGGGAAUGGCAGUGGAUACUGGUAAGCUAGAGUGUGUCAGAGGAUGGUGGAAUUCCCGGUGUAGCGGUGAAAUGCGUAGAGAUCGGGAGGAACAUCAGUGGCGAAGGCGGCCAUCUGGGACAACACUGACGCUGAGGCACGAAAGCGUGGGGAGCAAACAGGAUUAGAUACCCCUGUAGUCCCUGUCUCUUAUAC
RNAcentral lists this ribosomal RNA (301 nucleotides) under uncultured bacterium. RNAcentral's name for it is "partial 16S ribosomal RNA". It matches the Rfam family "Bacterial small subunit ribosomal RNA", at positions 509 to 807 of the family's 1533-position model. The record is from RNAcentral.